GAUGAAGAACGCAGCGAAAUGCGAUACUUGGUGUGAAUUGCAGAAUCCCGUGAACCAUCGAGUCUUUGAACGCAAGUUGCGCCCGAAGCCAUUAGGCCGAGGGCGCGCCUGCCUGGGCGUCACACGUCGUUGCCCCCCCAUCUACUCCUUCGGGAUUGCGGGGGGCGGAUGAUGGCCUCUCGUGCGCCUCGUCGCGCGGUUGGCCUAAAUGCCAAGUCCUCGGCGACGCACGCCACGACAAUCGGUGGUUGCGAAACCUCGGUUGCCUGUCGUGUGCGGUCGUCGCGCAUCGAGGGCUCGAAAAAAUUGCCGGGCUUCGGCUCGACUUUCAACGCGACCCCAGGUCAGGCGGGGUUACCCGCUGAAUUUAAGCAUAUCAAUAAGCGGAGGA
This 391-nucleotide unclassified non-coding RNA is filed under the name soil metagenome. RNAcentral's name for it is "partial contains 5.8S ribosomal RNA, internal transcribed spacer 2, and large subunit ribosomal RNA". The stretch from base 1 to 122 matches the Rfam family "5.8S ribosomal RNA", at positions 35 to 154 of the family's 154-position model. The record is from RNAcentral.